AGUGAACGCUGGCGGCGUGCUUAACACAUGCAAGUCGGACGAGAACGGAAUAUAGCUUGCUAUAUUUGUCAGCUAAGUGGCGCACGGGUGAGUAAUGUAUAGAUAACCUGCCCUUAAGAAAGGAAUAACAGUUGGAAACGACUGCUAAUGCCCUAUAUGCCUUUAAUACAUAAGUAUGCAAGGGAAACGCUUUAGUGCCUAAGGAUGGGUCUGUAUGGUAUCAGCUUGUUGGUGAGGUAAUGGCUCACCAAGGCUAUGACGCCUAACUGGUUUGAGAGGAUGAUCAGUCACACUGGAACUGAGACACGGUCCAGACUCCUACGGGAGGCAGCAGUGGGGAAUAUUGCACAAUGGACAAAAGUCUGAUGCAGCAACGCCGCGUGGAGGAUGACACAUUUCGGUGCGUAAACUCCUUUUAUAUAGGAAGAUAAUGACGGUACUAUAUGAAUAAGCACCGGCUAACUCCGUGCCAGCCGCCGCCGUAA
RNAcentral lists this ribosomal RNA (485 nucleotides) under uncultured bacterium. Its description in RNAcentral is "partial 16S ribosomal RNA". It matches the Rfam family "Bacterial small subunit ribosomal RNA", at positions 29 to 523 of the family's 1533-position model. The record is from RNAcentral.